CCUCCGCAUAGUACAACACAGACUUUUUGUAAUGAUGUGUAUUUGUUGCACAAAUACAGGGGCGGCUGUAGAAAAGCCUGUGUUAGGGUGAACUACAUUACCCAGCAGCCUCUGGGCAGUGAUGGGAUUCAUGGGAUUUCGGAGCUGGAUGGUGUUCGUUCGUUCCUGGGCUGGCGAUUGAGGAGAGAGCUGCGGGGAAGGGAAGCAAAUAGCCCAUCCUGUAUUUGUUGGGGAUGGUGUGCGUCAAUUAAAAAAACCACACCAUAUCACCCCUCCACAUCCUCCUACUGUAUGCCAUACCUUCCUGUACCAUCCAUCUGACCGCCAAUAAACUCCACCUGUGGUAAUCUAA
Long non-coding RNA from Oreochromis niloticus (Nile tilapia), 352 nucleotides. RefSeq lists it as uncharacterized. The record is from RefSeq and is a predicted model, not a curated record. The transcript has 2 exons. Lineage: Eukaryota; Metazoa; Chordata; Actinopteri; Cichliformes; Cichlidae.